AAAAAGGGCAUCUGUCGUGAUUGACACAGUAAAGGACGGAGUUUUCUGUUCUUACUGCGGAAUCGAUAUCAAGAGAUUUCGGAUGCGCAAUUUUUAUGAACAGGGACUGCUAAUGAUCAUCGGUCUUGGCGUCCCG
Astyanax mexicanus (Mexican tetra) is the source of this 136-nucleotide small nuclear RNA. NCBI's taxonomy places the organism in Eukaryota, Metazoa, Chordata, Actinopteri, Characiformes, Acestrorhamphidae. The record is from Ensembl.